AAUUUUCAGGAAUUUGACAGUGAGGGAAAUGUCAUUAUACAGCCAGGGGACUUGAAAAAAGUCUUGUUCAGAUUUGGCAUUCCAGUCACCCCAGAAGACUUUAGGAAGCUUUGGGCAAGGUCUCUUCUCAGACUGCUCUAGGCAACAUGGACUUAGACCUACCGGAUCACAAUCAACAGGUGAUACACUCAAAAACAAAGAAGAGAAGUCUUGUCUUGCAGAUAAAGAGGCAGCUUGGGAAAUCAUUAAACAACAACAACAAAAAAAGACACCACAGAGAUGCCUGUAAGGAUUACUUCCAAGAUUUCAAGAAGGCCUUUCAUAAAAUGGAUAAAAAUAGAGAUGGCUGUGUAACAGUAUUUGACCUGCACAGGAUACUACAAGAAUUCAACUGUUACCUUGAUCAUGAUCAGUUAAGCAGUCUUCUAAACAGACUGAGGAAGGGCAAAAAGUCAUUCUGCCUAAAUCUUCUUCGGAGCUGUCAAAGAGAGGCAAAUUCUCACAGAUACCAGAAGUAG
This 518-nucleotide long non-coding RNA is filed under the name Anser brachyrhynchus (Pink-footed goose). RNAcentral describes it as "lncRNA (ENSABRG00000009120.1)". The record is from RNAcentral. Lineage: Eukaryota; Metazoa; Chordata; Aves; Anseriformes; Anatidae.